RNAcentral lists this ribosomal RNA (497 nucleotides) under uncultured bacterium. RNAcentral's name for it is "partial 16S ribosomal RNA". It matches the Rfam family "Bacterial small subunit ribosomal RNA", at positions 28 to 507 of the family's 1533-position model. The record is from RNAcentral.
GAUGAACGCUGGCGGCGUGCCUAAUACAUGCAAGUCGAGCGAACAGAUGAGGAGCUUGUGCCUCUGACGUUAGCGGCGGACGGGUGAGUAACACGUGGAUAACCUACCUAUAAGACUGGGAUAACUUCGGGAAACCGGAGCUAACACCGGAUAAUAUAUUGAACCGCAUGGUUCAAUAGUGAAAGACGGUUUUGCUGUCACUUAUAGAUGGAUCCGCGCCGCAUUAGCUAGUUGGUAAGGUAACGGCUUACCAAGGCAACGAUUCGUAGCCGACCUGGGAGGGGGGUCGGCCACCCUGGAGCUGAGACACGGUCCAGGCUCCUACGGGAGGCAGCAGUAGGGAAUCUUCCGCAGUGGGCGGAAGCCUUACGGAGCAACGCCGCGUGUGUUAUGAAGGUCUUCGGAUCGUAAAACUCUGUUAUUAGUGAUGAACAAAUGUGUACGUAACUAUGCACGUCUUGACGGUACCUGAUCAGAAAGCCACGGCUAACUACGUG